GACGAACGCUGGCGGCGUGCUUAACACAUGCAAGUCGAACGCUGAAGCUUGGUGCUUGCACUGGGUGGAUGAGUGGCGAACGGGUGAGUAAUACGUGAGUAACCUGCCCUUGACUCUGGGAUAAGCCUGGGAAACUGGGUCUAAUACUGGAUACGACAUGUCACCGCAUGGUGGCGUGUGGAAAGGGUUUUACUGGUUUUGGAUGGGCUCACGGCCUAUCAGCUUGUUGGUGGGGUAAUGGCUCACCAAGGCGACGACGGGUAGCCGGCCUGAGAGGGUGACCGGCCACACUGGGACUGAGACACGGCCCAGACUCCUACGGGAGGCAGCAGUGGGGAAUAUUGCACAAUGGGCGAAAGCCUGAUGCAGCGACGCCGCGUGAGGGAUGACGGCCUUCGGGUUGUAAACCUCUUUCAGCACGGAAGAAGCGAAAGUGACGGUACGUGCAGAAGAAGCGCCGGCUAACUACGUG
This 472-nucleotide ribosomal RNA is filed under the name uncultured bacterium. Its description in RNAcentral is "partial 16S ribosomal RNA". It matches the Rfam family "Bacterial small subunit ribosomal RNA", at positions 28 to 507 of the family's 1533-position model. The record is from RNAcentral.